AUUGAACGCUGGCGGCAUGCCUUACACAUGCAAGUCGAACGGCAGCACGGGAGCAAUCCUGGUGGCGAGUGGCGAACGGGUGAGUAAUAUAUCGGAACGUGCCCAGUCGUGGGGGAUAACGCAGCGAAAGCUGUGCUAAUACCGCAUACGAUCUAGGGAUGAAAGCGGGGGAUCGCAAGACCUCGCGCGAUUGGAGCGGCCGAUAUCAGAUUAGCUAGUUGGUGGGGUAAAGGCCCACCAAGGCGACGAUCUGUAGCUGGUCUGAGAGGACGACCAGCCACACUGGAACUGAGACACGGUCCAGACUCCUACGGGAGGAAGCAGUGGGGAAUUUUGGACAAUGGGCGCAAGCCUGAUCCAGCAAUGCCGCGUGCAGGAUGAAGGCCUUCGGGUUGUAAACUGCUUUUGUACGGAACGAAACGGCCCUUUCUAAUACAGGGGGCUAAUGACGGUACCGUAAGAAUAAGCACCGGCUAACUACGUGCCAGCCGCCGCCGUAA
Molecule: ribosomal RNA, 500 nt
Filed under: uncultured bacterium
Lineage: Bacteria
Description: partial 16S ribosomal RNA
Rfam family: Bacterial small subunit ribosomal RNA
Source: RNAcentral